UACAGAGGGGGCAAGCGUUAUCCGGAAUUAUUGGGCGUAAAGGGCGCGUAGGCGGCCUGGCAAGUGGAAGGUGAAAUCCCUCGGCUUAACCGAGGAACUGCCUUCCAAACUGCUUGGCUUGAGUCCGGGAGAGGUGAGUGGAAUUCCCAGUGUAGCGGUGAAAUGCGUAGAUAUCGGGAGGAACACCUGUGGCGAAAGCGGCGCACUGGACCACAACUGACGCUGAGGCGCGAAAGCUAGGGGAGCAAACAGG
Molecule: ribosomal RNA, 253 nt
Filed under: uncultured bacterium
Lineage: Bacteria
Description: partial 16S ribosomal RNA
Rfam family: Bacterial small subunit ribosomal RNA
Source: RNAcentral